Molecule: small nuclear RNA, 105 nt
Organism: Pipistrellus kuhlii (Kuhl's pipistrelle)
Lineage: Eukaryota; Metazoa; Chordata; Mammalia; Chiroptera; Vespertilionidae
Source: RefSeq, a predicted model, not a curated record
GAGCUCUUUUCAGCAGCAUAUAUGCUAAAAUUGGAAUGACAAAGAGAUUAUCAUCACAUCUGCACAAGGGAUGGCUCUCAAAUCCAUGAAGCAUUCCAUUCUUUU